RNAcentral lists this ribosomal RNA (422 nucleotides) under uncultured Gammaproteobacteria bacterium. RNAcentral describes it as "bacterial SSU rRNA". It matches the Rfam family "Bacterial small subunit ribosomal RNA", at positions 9 to 429 of the family's 1533-position model. The record is from RNAcentral. Lineage: Bacteria; Pseudomonadati; Pseudomonadota; Gammaproteobacteria.
GAGUUUGAUCAUGGCUCAGAGUGAACGCUGGCGGCAGGCCUAACACAUGCAAGUCGAACGGCAGCGCAGCAGUAGCAAUACUGUGGGCGGCGAGUGGCGGACGGGUGAGGAAUACAUCGGAAUCUACCUUGUCGUGGGGGAUAACGUAGGGAAACUUACGCUAAUACCGCAUACGACCUACGGGUGAAAGCGGCGGACCGCAAGGCGUCGCGCGAUUGGAUGAGCCGAUGUCCGAUUAGCUAGUUGGCGGGGUAAGAGCCCACCAAGGCGACGAUCGGUAGCUGGUCUGAGAGGAUGAUCAGCCACACUGGAACUGAGACACGGUCCAGACUCCUACGGGAGGCAGCAGUGGGGAAUAUUGGACAAUGGGCGCAAGCCUGAUCCAGCCAUGCCGCGUGUGUGAAGAAGGCCUCGGUUGUAAG